RNAcentral lists this ribosomal RNA (583 nucleotides) under uncultured bacterium. RNAcentral describes it as "bacterial SSU rRNA". It matches the Rfam family "Bacterial small subunit ribosomal RNA", at positions 911 to 1503 of the family's 1533-position model. The record is from RNAcentral.
UGACGGGGGCCCGCACAAGCGGAGGAACAUGUGGUUUAAUUCGAUGAUACGCGAGGAACCUUACCCGGGCUCAAACGACGGAUGGAUGUCUCUGAAAGGAGGCAGUCNUACGGGACAUCCGUCGAGGUGCUGCAUGGUUGUCGUCAGCUCGUGCCGUGAGGUGUCGGCUUAAGUGCCAUAACGAGCGCAACCCCCAUCGCCAGUUACCAGCAAGUAAAGUUGGGGACUCUGGCGAGACUGCCGGCGCAAGCUGUGAGGAAGGCGGGGAUGACGUCAAAUCAGCACGGCCCUUACGUCCGGGGCGACACACGUGUUACAAUGGCAGGUACAGAGAGAAGCGAUGCGGCGACGCAGAGCGGAACUUCAAAGCCUGUCUCAGUUCGGAUUGGAGUCUGCAACCCGACUCCAUGAAGCUGGAUUCGCUAGUAAUCGCGCAUCAGCCACGGCGCGGUGAAUACGUUCCCGGGCCUUGUACACACCGCCCGUCAAGCCAUGGAAGCCGGGAGUGCCUGAAGUGUGCAACCGCAAGGAGCGCCCUAAGGUAAAACCGGUGACUGGGGCUAAGUCGUAACAAGGUAGCCGU